This is a long non-coding RNA of Ochotona princeps (American pika), 455 nucleotides long. RefSeq lists it as uncharacterized. Lineage: Eukaryota; Metazoa; Chordata; Mammalia; Lagomorpha; Ochotonidae. The record is from RefSeq and is a predicted model, not a curated record. The transcript is spliced from 3 exons.
CUUCCCGGUCCAUCACGGGAUCUGUCCCCAGAGCCACAUCCCGUGCCUUCGGGGUGGCACGCAGGCACCUACCGCCCUGCUGAUGUGCUUCCUGACCAAGAGGUCGAUCCAGCACCAGCCCACGGACACGUCAGAGGCAUCGUAGCCGAUCUUCUUCAGCGUCACAGCCGCCACGGUGAUGGCCAGCGGGACCCCCCAGCUGAAGAAUGAAAGGCAAGGAGGCACCGAGGCAACAAUAGAGCCAAUAUGAUGGCUUGGAGACUCAGCUGGCAAAUCCUCCACCGUCAAGUGCUGGCAUCCCAUAUGGGCAUCAGUUCAUGUCCUGGCUGCUCCACUUUCAAUCCAGCUCCCUGCUUAUAACCUGAGAAAGCAGUAGGGGAUGACCCAAAACUUUGGGACCCUGCACCCAUGUGGGAGACCUGGAAGAAGCUCCUGGCUCCUGGCUGUGGAUCAGC